This 500-nucleotide ribosomal RNA is filed under the name uncultured bacterium. RNAcentral's name for it is "partial 16S ribosomal RNA". It matches the Rfam family "Bacterial small subunit ribosomal RNA", at positions 28 to 523 of the family's 1533-position model. The record is from RNAcentral.
GGUGAACGCUGGCGGCAGGCCUAACACAUGCAAGUCGAGCGGAUGACGGGAGCUUGCUCCUUGAUUCAGCGGCGGACGGGUGAGUAAUGCCUAGGAAUCUGCCUGGUAGUGGGGGACAACGUUUCGAAAGGAACGCUAAUACCGCAUACGUCCUACGGGAGAAAGCAGGGGACCUUCGGGCCUUGCGCUAUCAGAUGAGCCUAGGUCGGAUUAGCUAGUUGGUGGGGUAAUGGCUCACCAAGGCGACGAUCCGUAACUGGUCUGAGAGGAUGAUCAGUCACACUGGAACUGAGACACGGUCCAGACUCCUACGGGAGGCAGCAGUGGGGAAUAUUGGACAAUGGGCGAAAGCCUGAUCCAGCCAUGCCGCGUGUGUGAAGAAGGUCUUCGGAUUGUAAAGCACUUUAAGUUGGGAGGAAGGGCAGUAAGUUAAUACCUUGCUGUUUUGACGUUACCGACAGAAUAAGCACCGGCUAACUCUGUGCCAGCAGCCGCCGUAA